Canis lupus familiaris (dog) is the source of this 771-nucleotide long non-coding RNA. RefSeq lists it as uncharacterized. The record is from RefSeq and is a predicted model, not a curated record. Lineage: Eukaryota; Metazoa; Chordata; Mammalia; Carnivora; Canidae. The transcript is spliced from 3 exons.
CAGGCGGCCUGCGCGGCGCUCCGGUCAGGGGCCGGUCUGCCGCGGAGGCUGAGAAAGGCUUUUCUGUUGUGGGCAUCACUGCUACUUACUUGUCGCCUCCAGGUUGGACCAGAUGCCUUUAGAGGUACCUACCCCCUCGAUCCCUUCGAGGUCCGUAAGCGCAGCCUGCAACACCUGCAUUGCUUUGGAAAACCUGCCACUUUGCACCAGCCUGACUCUAAAUAAUUUUGUUAGCCUCCCCUCAUGGGAGACUUGAACGCAAACCCAAGAUUUGUUCUGGCCAAAGCAGCGGCGGCAUCUUCUGGAAGCUUCCUUCCCUGCAGCCCGAGCUCCCCGCUGCCUGCACGUGGCUCCACCGAGUCUUCAGCGAGCCGCACCUUCAGUGACGACUUUGCCACUGGUGCGAAGACCCGCGGUGGAUCCUUGUCCUGAGUCGCAGAGUUCCCAGCUCACCAUUGCCAAGAUAUAUUAUCAACAGUUGCCUUGCUUCGCCUGCCCCAAAUUUGAUGAUGUAACAGAUGGUUCCCCAGCCAAGGCCGUAUUUUUUAAUGAAGAAAACAUGUCUCGAUUUCUCCAGAACAAGACAGAAUAAGGAAUAGGAAACAGCGAACGAAUGACUGAGGAUGUGGCCCAACGUCUUGUUUCCAUCCAUGCGACACGGUCUCAUCCCUGGGGAUGAGAGGGCACAGUUCCACUCCUCCUAGCACUCUUUCUUUAAAAAUAUUUUAUUGGGGCGCCUGGGUGGGUUUCUCGUUAGGUGUCCAACUCUUG